GACGAACGCUGGCGGCGUGCUUAACACAUGCAAGUCGAACGGAAAGGCCCUGCUUUUGUGGGGUGCUCGAGUGGCGAACGGGUGAGAAACACGUGAGUAACCUGCCCUUGACUUUGGGAUAACUUCAGGAAACUGGGGCUAAUACCGGAUAGGAGCUCCUGCUGCAUGGUGGGGGUUGGAAAGUUUCGGCGGUUGGGGAUGGACUCGCGGCUUAUCAGCUUGUUGGUGGGGUAGUGGCUUACCAAGGCCUUGACGGGUAGCCGGCCUGAGAGGGUGACCGGCCACAUUGGGACUGGGAUACGACCCGGACUCCUACGGGAGGCAACGGUGGAGAAUAUUACACAGUGGGCGGAAGCCUGGUGCGGCAACGCCGCGUGCGGGAUGACAGCCUUCGGGUUGUAUACCGCUUUCGCCUGUGACGAGGCGUGAGUGACGGUAAUGGGUGAAGAAGCACCGGCUAACUACGUG
This 468-nucleotide ribosomal RNA is filed under the name uncultured bacterium. RNAcentral describes it as "partial 16S ribosomal RNA". It matches the Rfam family "Bacterial small subunit ribosomal RNA", at positions 28 to 507 of the family's 1533-position model. The record is from RNAcentral.